Zalophus californianus (California sea lion) is the source of this 684-nucleotide long non-coding RNA. RefSeq lists it as uncharacterized. Lineage: Eukaryota; Metazoa; Chordata; Mammalia; Carnivora; Otariidae. The record is from RefSeq and is a predicted model, not a curated record. The transcript is spliced from 3 exons.
GGCUGCUGCGGUGGGUGCCGAGCGCUUGGCCGGCGGCAGGAGGAGAGAACGGGGCUGUCCCGACGGGAACCGUCGGUUGCGGGCCUUCAGAAAAGUCCCCUGCAAGGGAAGGCAGCUUCAUGAAAGGAGCUAUUGAGAAGGAGCCAGGGGACAGGGUCUCCAAGCAGCAUCUUCACGAACAAAGGCCUUGGGGCCACCAGAAAAAAAAAAAGAAAGAAGGAACAUUUAAGAAAGCAUGAAACAACCAAUACCUUCAGUGGCUCUUCACGGAUAAAUACUAUCCGUGCUUUAAGAAGCUGAUGCCAGGUUCUGCCACUAUUCAAAGAGACCCAAGCCCGACGUCACCUGCCGUAAGGAGCCCACUCUGACCUCCAGUGGCUGCAUUAGGUGCCUCUCCUGGGUUUCUGCAGCCCCCGUGCCUAACCUUCUCUGCACUUAACUCCCUCUUUAAAAACUAUUAUUAUUAUUAUCAUAAUCGGUGUUGUUUUGUUUAAAGUACAGUUGACCCUUGAACAACACAGGGGUUGGGGGUGUGGACCCCCCAUGUGGUAAAAACUCUGCAUAUCAUUUUGAUGCCCCUCAAACUUAAUAUCACUAAUAACCUGCUAUUGACUGAAAGUCUUACUGAUCAUAUAAACCAUAGAUUAACACAUAUUUUGUAUGUUGUGUGUAUUAUAUACUGUG